This is an RNA transcript of Brienomyrus brachyistius, 1297 nucleotides long. It is a transcript of the gene named apoptosis-associated speck-like protein containing a CARD, with no coding region annotated. NCBI's taxonomy places the organism in Eukaryota, Metazoa, Chordata, Actinopteri, Osteoglossiformes, Mormyridae. The transcript has 3 exons. The record is from RefSeq and is a predicted model, not a curated record.
ACACACACAUGCAGGCAAACACAAACAAGGAAUGGGCGGUUAGAUGUUUCUACAGAUGGAUGUGUGGAUCUUGAUCGUUUUCUAGGUUUCUCAAGCGCAGACUUAAAAUGUUCAUAAUACUAAUGCUUAUAAAAUUAUUACUUGCACAUAUGUGUAGUUUAAGGGCGGUGCCUUAUGAUAUCUACUGGGUUAUCUUAAAUAAUUGCAUGCUAUAAAAGCGCUGUACUUUGGUACCUACCGUUUAGUUCAAUACCCCAGUGCGGCCAUACUGUACUUACAACAAUAAACGCAAACAGUUCUGAAGAAUGCAGGAAGAACACAUAUUGCCUACCCUCCAAGUAUCGCUUCCUGUGUACGGUCUGUUCUCAGUCUUACAGAUCUGGGUCUCUAAAUAGUAUGCAACAUACCCUACCUGUUUUAUUUUAAAUAAUUUUUAAUUUUAAAGAAACAUUUUCCCAGUGAUUUGAGACAAAAUGCCGAAAACGGUAAAAGAUUGUUUGAUUGAAACAUUCGAGGAUUUGACCGAAGAACAGUUUAAGAGAUUCAAAAGUAAACUCAUCGAUCGAAAGGGAGAGCCUAGAAUAGGUAAGGGUAUAGUGCAAAAUAUGGAUAGAUUGGACCUGAUUGACAAACUCGUGAGCACUUUCACAGAGAAAAACGCGGGACAGGUCACAGUUAAUAUCUUACGAUCUGCGAAUUUUACACAGGAAGCCGACGAUUUGCAAGAGAGUUUGGGGAUCGUUUCAUUCUCUUCUGGACAGACUGGUGAGAGUCAGCCUACUUAUGGUCCAUCUUCAAUUUCCAUUGUGAAUGGUAAUUUUUUAGAAUGCAGGAUAAGUGCUUAAAACACAAGCACUUUCUUUAAAAAGAAAAUCCAAAGGAAAAAGCACUUUUUGGAUGUGCACCGAACCACCCUCAUCGAAAGAGUUAACAAUGUGAAUUCCAUCUUGGACCGUCUCCAGGAUAAAGGCAUUCUCAACUCAGUCAGCUACAGUGAUAUUUCUACCUUGCCCAAUGACCAUAAUAAGAUGAGGGCACUGUACGACGGCCCCUUAAAAUCAUGUGGGAACAAAGGAAAAGAUGAUUUACUCUCAAUCCUACAGGAACUCCAGCCAUAUCUAAUGGAUGAGCUGAUGAAAAAGUAGACAUUUAAGCACAAGUAAUGUUUGUUGAGCUUAACAGAAUAAGUCUGCAAUUUGACAGGUUUUUAACAACAGGGUUAUAACACAGAGCCAGUUGUUGUAGGUAAAAACAUACAAUAUAGAAGAUGUUAAUGUACUUGAUACAUGCAAUGGCA